Molecule: ribosomal RNA, 309 nt
Filed under: uncultured bacterium
Lineage: Bacteria
Description: partial 16S ribosomal RNA
Rfam family: Bacterial small subunit ribosomal RNA
Source: RNAcentral
AGAGACAGCAGCCGCCGCGGGAAUACGGAGGGGGCUAGCGUUGUUCGGAAUUACUGGGCGUAAAGCGCACGUAGGCGGCUUGGUAAGUUAGAGGUGAAAGCCUGGAGCUCAACUCCAGAAUUGCCUUUAAGACUGCCGAGCUAGCAGGUGAGAGAGGUAAGUGGAAUUCCGAGUGUAGAGGUGAAAUUCGUAGAUAUUCGGAAGAACACCAGUGGCGAAGGCGGCUUACUGGCUCAUACUGGACGCUGAGGUGCGAAAGCGUGGGGAGCAAACAGGAUUAGAUACCCGGGUAGUCCCUGUCUCUUAUAC